This 490-nucleotide ribosomal RNA is filed under the name uncultured bacterium. RNAcentral describes it as "partial 16S ribosomal RNA". It matches the Rfam family "Bacterial small subunit ribosomal RNA", at positions 30 to 507 of the family's 1533-position model. The record is from RNAcentral.
AUUGAACGCUGGCGGCAGGCCUAACACAUGCAAGUCGAACGGUAACAGGGAUCAGCUUGCUGAUUCGCUGACGAGUGGCGGACGGGUGAGUAAUGUCUGGGAAACUGCCUGAUGGAGGGGGAUAACUACUGGAAACGGUAGCUAAUACCGCAUAACGUCGCAAGACCAAAGAGGGGGACCUUCGGGCCUCUUGCCAUCGGAUGUGCCCAGAUGGGAUUAGCUAGUAGGUGGGGUAACGGCUCACCUAGGCGACGAUCCCUAGCUGGUCUGAGAGGAUGACCAGCCACACUGGAACUGAGACACGGUCCAGACUCCUACGGGAGGCAGCAGUGGGGAAUAUUGCACAAUGGGCGCAAGCCUGAUGCAGCCAUGCCGCGUGUAUGAAGAAGGCCUUCGGGUUGUAAAGUACUUUCAGCGGGGAGGAAGGGAGUAAAGUUAAUACCUUUGCUCAUUGACGUUACCCGCAGAAGAAGCACCGGCUAACUCUGUG